This 202-nucleotide unclassified non-coding RNA is filed under the name Hevea brasiliensis (rubber tree). Lineage: Eukaryota; Viridiplantae; Streptophyta; Magnoliopsida; Malpighiales; Euphorbiaceae. The record is from RNAcentral.
GUCAGAAGCGGGAGCAAUCAAAGUGUCAUCUGCCCACAAUUUUGACUUAACCCGUGGCUGCAUGACUUGAAGAAAUUCCUCCAGUUGGGGAUCAUCUUUCUCUCUCUCCUUUUUAUUAAUCUUCCUUUCAACCUGAGCACNUAUGUUUGAAUUUCUAGAACCAUCAACUUUAUUUCCACCUUCAGUAACUUCCUGUUUUUUC